GUAUCUCCUAAUAGGUGGCAUUUCAGAAGAUUUCAACAUCUGCUUUUGGGCAGUGGGGUGGGAUUACAGUACUGCUGGACUGAAAUUGGACUCUGUCCAUCAGCUUUCUAUGAGAACCGCAUGGAUUCUUCUAUUGAGCGGCAUUUCUCAAAAUGCCAAUAAUAUUUUUCUAAUCAAUAAAACAUGUGGUUUCAUUAAAAAAAGACCAAGAAGGAAAGGGACUAUUUGUGGAGGGGGGAAAUCUCAUAUUUACCUCUGCCUUACAAAGACAGGAUGUAUUUCAAUUUCACAAUCACCUUGAGGAUGCCUGAUAUGAUUAGAGAAAGAUGGGAAGGGAUUUUUUAUUUAUUUGUUUGCUUUGCACUUUGGAGCAAGCUGUCCAAUCAGGGUGCAACUUUGUACCUCAGUCUACCUUCUCCCAUAAUGCCUUGUAGUCUUCAAAGUGCCACUUAUAUUCCCAGGUGACUAAAGGGCUACCUUGUCACUUUCCCCCUUCCUUUCAAAGAAUGGUUUUAGAAUGGAGAGGUAAAACAGAUGACUACUCCAUUCCUAUCAAGGGGCCUCAUCUUCUCCAUCCGUAUGUGCCAUGCCUCUAAUCUACUCACACCCCAACCCCAUGAAGGAGCUUCAGCAGCUGGACUGGAAAGGCAGCAGAAAGAUACAUGGGGGCAGGGGCGGAGAGAGCAAAAUGAAGAAGAAAGAGAGGUGAUCCAGUGGGGAGAGUGUCUAAGAGGAGGAGGGAAGAAGUACUAUGGAGAAAGCACUAGGGAACAGAUAGACUGAGCAGAGGGAAAGACACAACAGAAGGAAGGGGCAGUGCAAUGGGAUGGUGUUAGCAGUGGGAAACAUGAGCAUAUUUGCCUAAGGACUGUGACUUGCCAGAGACUUUGCUUCUUACUAAACACAACCUAAAUGGGCCCAUCCAGAUGCAAACUUCAUUUCAGAGUUGUGUCCCUGUUUCCACCCUUGUUGUUUGCUACUCAUUUAGGACUGAAGAUAUUCUUACCAGCAUCAGAUCAGAGUCUUCAGAUUUCAUGCCUGAACCAGAAGCGGUUUCAGAAUCUCUGCCUGCUGGCGAUGAGGUCUGGUUGGGAACAUUCCAGAGUUUGUCUUUAACUAAUUGUGCAAAAAAGGAGUGCCUUUUGCUUACAUGAUACGACGUAAAAAAUUCCAAAGCCUUCCCAUUAAAAAACAAAAAAGUUAUGAGGAGUCAUUUGUGCUGAUAUAUUGAGGAGCAACGUGUCUCUCUAUAGCUCCCCAUUGAGAUGAUGUAUCAAGCAUCUGUCGGCUUUGCUCUGAGGGCAGCUG
RNAcentral lists this long non-coding RNA (1308 nucleotides) under Pogona vitticeps (central bearded dragon). RNAcentral describes it as "lncRNA (ENSPVIG00000001379.1)". The record is from RNAcentral. Lineage: Eukaryota; Metazoa; Chordata; Lepidosauria; Squamata; Agamidae.